Molecule: ribosomal RNA, 228 nt
Filed under: uncultured bacterium
Lineage: Bacteria
Description: partial 16S ribosomal RNA
Rfam family: Bacterial small subunit ribosomal RNA
Source: RNAcentral
GACAGAGGGUGCAAAACGUUGUUCGGAAUCACUGGGCGUAAAGGGUGCGUAGGCGGGUCUUUUAAGUCAGGGGGUGAAAAUCCUGGAGCUCAACUCCAGAAACUGCCCUUUUGAUACUGAGGAUCUUGAGUAUGGGAGAGGUGAGUGGAAACUGCGAGUGUAGAGGGUGAAAAAUUUCGUAGAUAUUUCGGGAAAGAAACACCCAGUGGCGAAAGGGCGACUCACUGG